This 1309-nucleotide long non-coding RNA is filed under the name Gallus gallus (chicken). Its description in RNAcentral is "lncRNA (ENSGALG00010008604.1)". Lineage: Eukaryota; Metazoa; Chordata; Aves; Galliformes; Phasianidae. The record is from RNAcentral.
UGUUAAUCUAGGGUGGAGUGGGUAAAAGCUUAAAGAAAUAUGAUGAAAAGUAAUCCAGUGCUCAACAAGGGCAUCAGCAGCAAGAAUCCAGCCUCUGCUGCUCCAGAGGAUUAAGAUGGGGAAAGCCACAGAACUGCAGUCGAGUUGCACCUCAGCGUUGUUCUGGAGAUGGAUAAACAAGCUUUGUGGAUUGACAGACUUGUGAAGGCAUGAAAGUGAAGAGAGGCUUUAUUGGAAACCCAGAGGUUUCUCCUUCUGGCUGUGUUCUCACCAUCUGUCCAGAUGUAACUCCAGCAAGUGUAACUGUGAUGCAGGUCCCACUUCCCACAGCAGGAAACCACUCCUCCCAGUAUUCUCUUGAUCAAAGCCCUAUUUCUUGAUCUGCUUUCUUGUGGGAUGCUGUUAGUGGCUUUGGCUUUGCACCUGGGCUACCAUUUUCACUUUGGCAUGUCUUCCAAACCUUCUUGAUGUUGUGUUUUCUGCUGUUUCCCCUCAUGCUCCCACUUGCAUUCCAUGUGAUAAACCUGUUUUAGUGAUGAGAGAGAAGGAUCAGGUCGCGGAGAGGUUUACUUUUGGGAGGGUAGGCAAUGGCCAGGCUUUGUUUGGAAUUGUAUUUUAAAGUUCUCACCCUCAUUGAAUGUAGCCAGUCAUAGUUUCACCCAGUUGACUUGCAACAUCAGCUAACUUGGACAUCAGCAAAUCAAAACUACCGUACCAUAUUACAUUAAUUUCAGUGGAAACAUAUUUUUUAGAAAAAUCAUAAUCAUGGAAUCAUAGAAUCACUCAGGUUGAGAAAGACCUUAAAGAUCAUCGAGUCCAACCAUGACCUAACCAUACUACCCUAACAACCCUCUGCUAAAUCAUGUCCCUGAGAACCACAUCCAAACGAUUUUUAAACACAUCCAGGAAUGGUGACUCAACCACCUCCCUGGGGAGCCUAUUCCAGUGCUUAACAACCCUUUCAGUAAAGUUUUUCCUGAUAUCCAACCUAAACUUACCCUGGUGCAACUUAAGGCCAUUUCCCCUCUUCCUGUCACCUGUCACCAGUGAGAAGAGACCAACCCCGCUCUCUCUGUAGGCACCUUUCAGAUAUUGGAAGAGAGGUCUCCCCCCAGCCUUUUUUUCCCCAGACUAAACAGCCCCAGUUCCUUCAGUCUCUCCUCACAGGGCAUAUUCUCCAAGCCCUUCACAAGCCUUGUUGUCCUUCUUUGGACCUGCUCCAGCACCUCCAUGUCCUUUCUGUACUGAGUUGUAAUGAGUUGAGUAUCAUCUUAUUUUGGCAUAUUCAUGCUAAGAGCGAGCCCAGAGG